Sorex araneus (European shrew) is the source of this 114-nucleotide small nuclear RNA. RefSeq annotates it as U5 spliceosomal RNA. The transcript has a single exon. Lineage: Eukaryota; Metazoa; Chordata; Mammalia; Eulipotyphla; Soricidae. The record is from RefSeq and is a predicted model, not a curated record.
AUACUCUAGAUUCUCUUCAGAUCACAUAAUCUUUCAUCUUUUUCUAAAGAUUUCCAUGGAAAGGGACAAUUCUGAGUCUUAACAAAUUUGUUGAGGCCUUGUCUCGGCAAGUCU